AUGCGCUAUCUGCUUGAAGACGUCCCGCCCUCCGGCUGGCAGGCCACCGGCAGCAGCCUUGUGCGGGCCGCCCUGCGGCUCAGUGCCUUGACCCACUUUGUUGCAAGGGAACUACGCUCUUGUUGCAAAGGUCUCUUGUUCGUCUAUUCGAUCAAGGCACCCUUACUAAAGAAUCUCUAUCUCAUCAAGUGUUAUUUCGUCUCAAAGGAAGUAUUUGCAAAGGUUAUGCACAAGUUCCCUCUCCUCGAAGAGCUCGAGCUUUCGAUGUGGUUAGGUGGCACGGAAAUGCUCGAGAUCGAUGCUGAAGCCUGCCCACGCCUGAAGCACUUCAGUCUCAUAAAAAAAGAUCGUUUUUACGAACUUGAGGACGAUGGUAAUGCUUUUGCGAUUGCGAAGAUGCACGGGCUACGUUCCUUGUAUCUCGACGGCAACAGACUCACCAACAAAGGGCUGGCAGUGAUCCUUGAUGGCUGCCCCCACCUAGAGCACCUUAACAUUUUUGAAUGUAAGUAUCUCAGGAUGGAUGAUGACCUGCUGGAGAAAUGUUCUCGAGUCAACAUGGAUGGCCCUCGGUACUCUUUGCCAUAUGUGCCUUGCAGUUGCUGUUGGAGUCCUGACUAUUCGGAUCACGAGGAUUACGAGGAUUACCGUGAGGCUUGUUACUACUACCUCGGUGACCACUUUGACGACGAUGAUCUAGCAGAACACGAGAGGAUUCUUGAUAUCAAGAACAUGCGGAGGUACUUG
Molecule: ribosomal RNA, 747 nt
Filed under: Triticum aestivum (bread wheat)
Lineage: Eukaryota; Viridiplantae; Streptophyta; Magnoliopsida; Poales; Poaceae
Description: partial small subunit ribosomal RNA
Source: RNAcentral